CGUGUAGGCUGCGAUGUAAGUCGGAUGUGAAAGCCCUCAGCUCAACUGAGGAAGUGCAUCCGAUACUGCGUCGCUUGAGUGUCGGAGGGGGUGGCGGAAUUCCCGGUGUAGAGGUGAAAUUCGUAGAUAUCGGGAGGAACACCUGUGGCGAAGGCGGCCACCUGGACGACGACUGACGCUGAGACGCGAAAGCGUGGGUAGCAAACA
This 207-nucleotide ribosomal RNA is filed under the name uncultured delta proteobacterium. RNAcentral describes it as "partial 16S ribosomal RNA". It matches the Rfam family "Bacterial small subunit ribosomal RNA", at positions 568 to 774 of the family's 1533-position model. Lineage: Bacteria; Deltaproteobacteria. The record is from RNAcentral.